UCUAACCUGGGUCCGUGAUCCGGAUCAGGGACAGUGUCUGAUGGGUAGUUUAACUGGGGCGGUUGCCUCCUAAAGAGUAACGGAGGCGCCCAAAGGUUCCCUCAGCCUGGUUGGCAAUCAGGUGUUGAGUGUAAGUGCACAAGGGAGCUUGACUGUGAGACCGACGGGUCGAGCAGGGACGAAAGUCGGGACUAGUGAUCCGGCGGUGGCUUGUGGAAGCGCCGUCGCUCAACGGAUAAAAGGUACCCCGGGGAUAACAGGCUGAUCUUCCCCAAGAGUCCAUAUCGACGGGAUGGUUUGGCACCUCGAUGUCGGCUCGUCGCAUCCUGGGGCUGGAGUCGGUCCCAAGGGUUGGGCUGUUCGCCCAUUAAAGCGGUACGCGAGCUGGGUUUAGAACGUCGUGAGACAGUUCGGUCCCUAUCCGCUGUGCGCGUAGGAAUAUUGAGAAGGGCUGUCCCUAGUACGAGAGGACCGGGACGGACGAACCUCUGGUGUGCCAGUUGUCCUGCCAAGGGCAUGGCUGGUUGGCUACGUUCGGGAGGGAUAACCGCUGAAAGCAUCUAAGCGGGAAGCCUGCUUCGAGAUGAGUAUUCCCACCUCCUUGAGAGGGUAAGGCUCCCAGUAGACGACUGGGUUGAUAGGCCAGAUAUGGAAGCCUGGUAACGGGUGGAGUUGACUGGUACUAAUAGGCCGAGGGCUUGUCCUCAGUUG
RNAcentral lists this ribosomal RNA (711 nucleotides) under Streptomyces sp. SID4982. RNAcentral describes it as "partial 23S ribosomal RNA". It matches the Rfam family "Bacterial large subunit ribosomal RNA", at positions 2221 to 2925 of the family's 2925-position model. Lineage: Bacteria; Bacillati; Actinomycetota; Actinomycetes; Kitasatosporales; Streptomycetaceae. The record is from RNAcentral.